Molecule: long non-coding RNA, 515 nt
Organism: Pantherophis guttatus
Lineage: Eukaryota; Metazoa; Chordata; Lepidosauria; Squamata; Colubridae
Source: RefSeq, a predicted model, not a curated record
GUCCCUUUCUUUCAGUCCUAGUAAGUAGGUAGUAGGCAAGCCAUUUCUGAAGUCUUACAGAGAAAACUGUAGGGAUUAAUCCAGGUCAUCACCAAGAGUCAACCCUAAUUUGAAGGCAGACACCCCCAAAAGAAGAUGUUUCAUCAUUUGCAACAGAAGGACCUGAGCUGUGUGGUCCAGCAGAUUUUGUGCUCCAGAAGACAUCUAUUGGAUUCUACAUGAACAAAUUAGAAAUUUGCAGCAGAUUUGGGCUACUGAUAUCAUUAUCUCCAACAUAAAGUCAGUCUUCAAAAACAAGAAUGUAUUGUUAUAUGCAAUAUUCAUGUAGCAUACAGUAUAUAGCCUUGACUAAAUUGUGUUGUUUUCUUUGCAUUGUUCAAAAAAGAAAAACAUUUAAUCACUUUUAUGAAUGUUAUAUGACAACAAUAAAUUAAGAAUAGUGCUGAAAGUUAUUCAUUAUAUGUCCAUUGCUGCCUUCUGAUUAAGGCAAAUAAAUGAAACAUGUAUCUAUUUCA